Molecule: transfer RNA, 72 nt
Filed under: Camelus bactrianus (Bactrian camel)
Lineage: Eukaryota; Metazoa; Chordata; Mammalia; Artiodactyla; Camelidae
Also listed under: 2 other names
Rfam family: tRNA
About the family: Transfer RNA (tRNA) molecules are approximately 80 nucleotides in length. Their secondary structure includes four short double-helical elements and three loops (D, anti-codon, and T loops).
Source: Rfam by way of RNAcentral
GGAGGAGUCGCUCAGUGGUAGAGUACCUGACUGGCAUGCAGGAGGUCCUGGGUUCAAUUCCCAGUACCUCCG